CUAUCUAUUCUGUGAGACAGUUGAGCUGCCCAUCAUACUCUAUGUAGAAGACCUUUCCCUAAGCUGCACCUGCUGCUUGCCCAGCACAUUGGCCCAGCCGACUGGUCCAGGCUCUGUAUAAGAGUCGGAGUCGGCACAGCCGCCCCACUGGGCUGAUACACCCUGGCCUACAGCAUAAGAGGACGCCAGCUUUCACAAAACCAUGGAUGUAUGGACAGAAUAUUGAGGAUUACACUUGGAGUAGGAGGAAAGACAGGAAGAAAGGCCUGAGAGUCUGUGUUUGGCCUCUGACCUGGAUCAGCAGUCCACCUGGAUUGUAUUGUUUUCAAGAAGACAGAUGCCGAAUGUCUGAAGUGUCACAAUACUUCCCAGCCAUCUCUCAUUAUCCCAUGCAGAUGUUAAACAGCCAGCCAGUGGUAUUGCUCUGAGUGCGUCACCGCAUGUGUCUCAUGGCUGAUGGCUCUGCAAGACUCCACCUUUAGCCCAUUUAUGUGAUGGAUGGGUUUAUGGCUCUAUUCUUGUCUUCAGUGUCAGUAGGAAUCCAACCAUGCAGAACUUAAGUCAGCUUGAUGAAUCACUACAAAACAACACUUUUCAAGAGGCUUACUGAAGAUGUGUAGACAACACUUGACCUGGGCUCAAGCAGUGCGAAACCUUACACCACCUCUCUGGUGAAAUGGAACCUGUUAGUACCCCACAUCUGGGUCAUGGCAAGUGUAGGUGGUGUGUAUAGAAGUUCAUGUUUGUGGUCAUGUGAAUAUGUGUGUGUGUGUGUGUGUGUGUUAAACCUGUAUCACCUCAGUGAUUAGAAAACCAUCUGCAAGUAUCUAGGUGUCAUUAUCUCUUUGUGGGACUGUGUAGACAUACGAGUGUCUUUAUGAACGCCCACACAC
This is a long non-coding RNA of Ictalurus punctatus (channel catfish), 893 nucleotides long. RefSeq lists it as uncharacterized. The record is from RefSeq and is a predicted model, not a curated record. Lineage: Eukaryota; Metazoa; Chordata; Actinopteri; Siluriformes; Ictaluridae. The transcript is spliced from 4 exons.